Molecule: ribosomal RNA, 254 nt
Filed under: uncultured bacterium
Lineage: Bacteria
Description: partial 16S ribosomal RNA
Rfam family: Bacterial small subunit ribosomal RNA
Source: RNAcentral
UACGUAGGGGGCGAGCGUUACCCGGAUUUACUGGGCGUAAAGAGCGUGUAGGCGGCUGGCCAAGCGUGAUGUGAAAUCUUCGGGCUUAACCCGAAAACUGCAUUGCGAACUGGUCUGGCUAGAGUGUGUGAGAGGGUAGUGGAAUUCCCGGUGUAGCGGUGAAAUUCGUAGAUAUCGGGAGGAACACCAGUGGCGAAGGCGGCGACCUGGACAGAUAUUGACGCUGAGGUGCGAAAGCGUGGGGAGCAAACAGG